RNAcentral lists this ribosomal RNA (271 nucleotides) under uncultured archaeon. RNAcentral's name for it is "partial 16S ribosomal RNA". It matches the Rfam family "Archaeal small subunit ribosomal RNA", at positions 477 to 747 of the family's 1478-position model. The record is from RNAcentral.
CAGCGCCACGAGUGGUAACCACGUUUAUUGGGCCUAAAGCGUCCGUAGCCGGCUUUGUAAGUCUUUUGUGAAAUUGUUUGGCUCAACCAAACAGCGUGCAAGAGAUACUGCAAGGCUUGAGACCGGGAGGAGUCAGAAGUAUUCCAGGGGGAGCGGUAAAAUGUUAUAAUCCCUGGAGGACUACCUGUGGCGAAGGCGUCUGACCAGAACGGAUCUGACGGUGAGGGACGAAAGCCAGGGGAGCGAACCGGAUUAGAUACCCGAGUAGUCC